CCGCCCGUCACAUCAUGAAAGCCGUAUGCACCCAAAGGCAUUUCAUUAACCGCAAGGAGAUAAUUGCCUAAGGUAUGGAUGGUAAUUGGGAUG
Molecule: ribosomal RNA, 93 nt
Filed under: uncultured bacterium
Lineage: Bacteria
Description: partial 16S ribosomal RNA
Source: RNAcentral